This 441-nucleotide ribosomal RNA is filed under the name uncultured bacterium. RNAcentral's name for it is "partial 16S ribosomal RNA". It matches the Rfam family "Bacterial small subunit ribosomal RNA", at positions 338 to 795 of the family's 1533-position model. The record is from RNAcentral.
CCUACGGGUGGCAGCAGUGGGGGAUAUUGCACAAUGGGGGAAACCCUGAUGCAGCGACGCCGCGUGUGGGAAGACGGUCCUCUGGAUUGUAAACCACUGUCCCCAGGGACGAAGAUGACGGUACCUGGGGAGGAAGCUCCGGCUAACUACGUGCCAGCAGCCGCGGUAAUACGUAGGUGGCAAGCGUUGUCCGGAAUUACUGGGUGUAAAGGGAGCGCAGGCGGGAAGCCAAGUCAGCUGUGAAAACUACGGGCUUAACUUGUAGACUGCAGUUGAAACUGGUUUUCUUGAGUGAAGUAGAGGUUGGCGGAAUUCCGAGUGUAGCGGUGAAAUGCGUAGAUAUUCGGAGGAACACCGGUGGCGAAGGCGGCCAACUGGGCUUUAACUGACGCUGAGGCUCGAAAGUGUGGGGAGCAAACAGGAUUAGAUACCCCUGUAGUC